RNAcentral lists this ribosomal RNA (742 nucleotides) under uncultured Glomeromycotina. RNAcentral's name for it is "eukaryotic LSU rRNA". It matches the Rfam family "Eukaryotic large subunit ribosomal RNA", at positions 37 to 633 of the family's 3401-position model. Lineage: Eukaryota; Fungi; Glomeromycota. The record is from RNAcentral.
UGCAUAUCAAUAAGCGGAGGAAAAGAAGCCAACAGGGAUUGCCCUAGUAACGGCGAGUGAAGCGGCAACAGCUCAAAUUUGAAAUCUGAUCUCUUCGAGGUCCGAGUUGUAAUUUGUAGAGGGCGCUUUGGUGUUGGCUGCGGUCUAAGUUCCUUGGAACAGGACGUCAUAGAGGGUGAGAAUCCCGUCUGUGGUCGCAUGUCUUCACCGUGUAAAGCCCCUUCGACGAGUCGAGUUGUUUGGGAUUGCAGCUCCAAACGGGUGGUAAACAUCACCUAAGGCUAAAUAUUGGCGAGAGACCGAUAGCGAACAAGUACCGUGAGGGAAAGAUGAAAAGAACUUUGAAAAGAGAGUUAAACAGUACGUGAAAUUGUUGAAAGGGAAACGAUUGAAGUCAGUCGUGCUGGCGCGAAAUCAGCUUGACCGGUAGGGCAUCACCUAUCGUGGCGAGCCUCAAAACCGCCACAGCUUGUGAUAACUUAACGGCCUCGUGCACUUUCGUGUCGGCUGGUUAACAUCAAUUUCGAUCGUCAUAAAAAGGCUGGAGGGAUGUGGCUCCUUCGGGAGUGUUAUAACCUUUGGCGGAAUGUGGUGGUCGGGAUUGAGGUUUGCAACGAAUACCUUCAGGGCUGCUCCACCUGGCCUCUCAUCGGCAUCCUGGCGGCGACAGCUUGCUGACGUUGUUAGGAUCAGCCUUCGAACAGGCUAGAGUGUGAGCAAAUUCGUUAAGGAUGUUGACGUA